UGCAGUCGACGGAAGGNCCUUCGGGGUACUCGAGUGGCGAACGGGUGAGUAACACGUGGGUGAUCUGCCCUGCACUUUGGGAUAAGCCUGGGAAACUGGGUCUAAUACCGAAUAGGACCACGCGCUUCAUGGUGUGUGGUGGAAAGCUUUUGCGGUGUGGGAUGGGCCCGCGGCCUAUCAGCUUGUUGGUGGGGUAAUGGCCUACCAAGGCGACGACGGGUAGCCGGCCUGAGAGGGUGACCGGCCACACUGGGACUGAGAUACGGCCCAGACUCCUACGGGAGGCAGCAGUGGGGAAUAUUGCACAAUGGGCGCAAGCCUGAUGCAGCGACGCCGCGUGAGGGAUGACGGCCUUCGGGUUGUAAACCUCUUUCAAUAGGGACGAAGCGCAAGUGACGGUACCUAUAGAAGAAGCACCGGCCAACUACGUGCCAGCAGCCGCGGUAAUACGUAGGGUGCGAGCGUUGUCCGGAAUUACUGGGCGUAAAGAGCUCGUAGGUGGUUUGUCGCGUUGUUCGUGAAAACUCACAGCUUAACUGUGGGCGUGCGGGCGAUACGGGCAGACUAGAGUACUGCAGGGGAGACUGGAAUUCCUGGUGUAGCGGUGGAAUGCGCAGAUAUCAGGAGGAACACCGGUGGCGAAGGCGGGUCUCUGGGCAGUAACUGACGCUGANGAGCGAAAGCGUGGGGAGCGAACAGGAUUAGAUACCCUGGUAGUCCACGCCGUAAACGGUGGGUACUAGGUGUGGGUUCCUUCCUUGGGAUCCGUGCCGUANCUAACGCAUUAAGUACCCCGCCUGGGGAGUACGGCCGCAAGGCUAAAACUCAAAGGAAUUGACGGGGGCCCGCACAAGCGGCGGANCAUGUGGAUUAAUUCGAUGCAACGCGAAGAACCUUACCUGGGUUUGACAUGCACAGGACGCCGGCAGANAUGUCGGUUCCCUUGUGGCCUGUGUGCAGGUGGNGCAUGGCUGUCGUCAGCUCGUGUCG
RNAcentral lists this ribosomal RNA (990 nucleotides) under Mycolicibacterium mucogenicum. Its description in RNAcentral is "bacterial SSU rRNA". It matches the Rfam family "Bacterial small subunit ribosomal RNA", at positions 56 to 1067 of the family's 1533-position model. Lineage: Bacteria; Bacillati; Actinomycetota; Actinomycetes; Mycobacteriales; Mycobacteriaceae. The record is from RNAcentral.